UACGUAGGGUGCAAGCGUUGUCCGGAAUUAUUGGGCGUAAAGAGCUCGUAGGCGGUUUGUCGCGUCUGCUGUGAAAACCCGAGGCUCAACCUCGGGCCUGCAGUGGGUACGGGCAAACUAGAGUGCGGUAGGGGAGAAUGGAAUUCCUGGUGUAGCGGUGGAAUGCGCAGAUAUCAGGAGGAACACCGAUGGCGAAGGCAGUUCUCUGGGCCGUAACUGACGCUGAGGAGCGAAAGCGUGGGGAGCGAACAGA
RNAcentral lists this ribosomal RNA (253 nucleotides) under uncultured bacterium. RNAcentral's name for it is "partial 16S ribosomal RNA". It matches the Rfam family "Bacterial small subunit ribosomal RNA", at positions 524 to 776 of the family's 1533-position model. The record is from RNAcentral.